RNAcentral lists this ribosomal RNA (433 nucleotides) under uncultured bacterium. RNAcentral's name for it is "partial 16S ribosomal RNA". It matches the Rfam family "Bacterial small subunit ribosomal RNA", at positions 29 to 507 of the family's 1533-position model. The record is from RNAcentral.
AACGAACGCUGGCGGCAUGCCUAACACAUGCAAGUCGAACGAGACCUUCGGGUCUAGUGGCGCACGGGUGCGUAACGCGUGGGAACCUGCCCUUAGGUUCGGAAUAACUCCCCGAAAGGGGUGCUAAUACCGGAUAAUGUCUUCGGACCAAAGAUUUAUCGCCUUUGGAUGGGCCCGCGUUGGUUUAGCUAGUUGGUAGGGUAAAAGCCUACCAAGGCGACGAUCCAUAGCUGGUCUGAGAGGAUGAUCAGCCACACUGGGACUGAGACACGGCCCAGACUCCUACGGGAGGCAGCAGUGAGGAAUAUUGGACAAUGGGCGAAAGCCUGAUCCAGCAAUGCCGCGUGAGUGAUGAAGGCCUUAGGGUUGUAAAGCUCUUUUACCCGGGAUGAUAAUGACAGUACCGGGAGAAUAAGCUCCGGCUAACUCCGUG